GAUGAACGCUGGCGGCGUGCCUAAUACAUGCAAGUCGAGCGAACGGACGAGAAGCUUGCUUUUCUGAUGUUAGCGGCGGACGGGUGAGUAACACGUGGAUAACCUACCUAUAAGACUGGGAUAACUUCGGGAAACCGGAGCUAAUACCGGAUAAUAUUUUGAACCGCAUGGUUCAAAAGUGAAAGACGGUCUUGCUGUCACUUAUAGAUGGAUCCGCGCUGCAUUAGCUAGUUGGUAAGGUAACGGCUUACCAAGGCAACGAUGCAUAGCCGACCUGAGAGGGUGAUCGGCCACACUGGAACUGAGACACGGUCCAGACUCCUACGGGAGGCAGCAGUAGGGAAUCUUCCGCAAAGGGCGAAAGCCUGACGGAGCAACGCCGCGUGAGUGAUGAAGGCCUUCGGAUCGUAAAACUCUGUUAUUAGGGAAGAACAUAUGUGUAAGUAACUGUGCACAUCUUGACGGUACCUAAUCAGAAAGCCACGGCUAACUACGUG
This 497-nucleotide ribosomal RNA is filed under the name uncultured bacterium. RNAcentral describes it as "partial 16S ribosomal RNA". It matches the Rfam family "Bacterial small subunit ribosomal RNA", at positions 28 to 507 of the family's 1533-position model. The record is from RNAcentral.